AUUGAACGCUGGCGGCAGGCCUAACACAUGCAAGUCGAGCGAGCGGCGGACGGGUGAGUAAUGUAUGGGGACUGCCCGAUAGCGGGGGAUAACUACUUGAAACGGUAGCUAAUACCGCAUACUCUCGUAUAACCCAUAUGGGAUUAGCUAGUAGGGGGGGAAAUGGCUCACCUAGGCGCCGAUCCCUAGCUGGUCUGAGAGGAUGAUCAGCCACACUGGGGCUGAGACACGGCCCAGACUCCUACGGAGGCAGAAGGGGGGAAUAUUGCACAAUGGGCGCAAGCCUGAUGCAGCCAUGCCGCGUGUAUGAAGAAGGCCGUAGGGUUGUAAAGUACUUUCAGUGGGGAGGCGUUACCGACAGAAGAAGCACCGGCUAACUCCGUGCCAGCAGUCGCGGUAAUUC
Molecule: ribosomal RNA, 403 nt
Filed under: uncultured bacterium
Lineage: Bacteria
Description: partial 16S ribosomal RNA
Rfam family: Bacterial small subunit ribosomal RNA
Source: RNAcentral